Equus caballus (horse) is the source of this 72-nucleotide non-coding RNA. The record is from Rfam. NCBI's taxonomy places the organism in Eukaryota, Metazoa, Chordata, Mammalia, Perissodactyla, Equidae.
GCCCUGCUGGCCUAGUGGUUAAGACUCGGCACUCUCACUGCCGCAGCCUGGGUUCAUUUCCUAGUCAGGGAA